Molecule: ribosomal RNA, 253 nt
Filed under: uncultured bacterium
Lineage: Bacteria
Description: partial 16S ribosomal RNA
Rfam family: Bacterial small subunit ribosomal RNA
Source: RNAcentral
UACGUAGGGUGCAAGCGUUGUCCGGAAUUAUUGGGCGUAAAGAGCUCGUAGGCGGUUCGUCGCGUCGGCUGUGAAAUCCCGAGGCUCAACCUCGGGUCUGCAGUCGAUACGGGCGGACUGGAGUUCGGCAGGGGAGACUGGAAUUCCUGGUGUAGCGGUGAAAUGCGCAGACAUCAGGAGGAACACCGGUGGCGAAGGCGGGUCUCUGGGCCGAUACUGACGCUGAGGAGCGAAAGCGUGGGGAGCGAACAGG